Molecule: ribosomal RNA, 279 nt
Filed under: uncultured bacterium
Lineage: Bacteria
Description: partial 16S ribosomal RNA
Rfam family: Bacterial small subunit ribosomal RNA
Source: RNAcentral
UGCCAGCCGCCGCGGUAAUACGAAGGGGGCUAGCGUUGUUCGGAAUCACUGGGCGUAAAGCGCACGUAGGCGGACUGAUCAGUUGGGGGUGAAAUCCCAGGGCUCAACCCUGGACGUGCAUUUGAAACAGCAAGACUUGAAUACUGGAGAGGAGAGCGGAAUUCCUGGUGUAGAGGUGAAAUGCGUAGAUAUCUGGAGGAACAUCAGUGGCGAAGGCGGCUCCCUGGCCAAAGACUGACGCUCAUGUGCGAAAGUGUGGGUAGCGAACAGGAUUAGAUA